UCCAUCUUUCAGCGACUUUGACUCAGGAAAAGUCAGUUGCUUGAUUUUGCUACAGAAAAGGCCUUCCGGAUGAGCUGGCGUGAAGCAGAGCUGGGUUCCUUACGCACAUCUGUGUGAGAGGGCAGAGGUGUUUACCGGACUCGCGCUUCUCCUGGGCCAGCUCUGAGAGGAGAGACACACGAGUCCCCUUCUGUGGUGUUUAAAUGCACCUGACUGUGAUGUAAUAGGAAGCCAUUUUCAUGGCGGCUGAAGACAUGCCUGUAACACAAACAGCCAGUCCCGGGAGCAGUGUUCGCCACUCUUGCCAAGUCCUCGGUGAAAGGGGCAAGUGUGGACGCAUGUGUGGCAGAAGUCAGUUUUCUCCUUCCACUCUGUGGUCCCUGCGAUCAACACAGGCAUUCACGCUUGGUGUUGGGCACCUUGACUGGCCGAGCCAUCUCGCCAGAUGCAUUUCUCCAGUUUUGAUUUCACCAUUCUUCCUUCUAACAAUUAGGAGAAACUCUACUAAAGGGAGAUUCGGGUUUACUUAACUAAAUGGAGAACAUGUUUUCAAGCAAAUAUUUUGUAAUGAGCUAUGAGUAGCGUUGAUAUGAACGGUCAGCUGUUUUACAAUGGUGGUAGCCGUAUGUACAUCCUGUAGCAGAUGGAAUGUCUGCCUUCAGAGUGUAGAACAACUUCUAUUAGCCAAUCACAUUCAUUCUAAUUGCCCAUUAUCUCUCUUAUCUGGUUCAUUGUAACCAGAAGCAUCAUCAUUCUUAAUAAAAGUCCAGUUGCGUGUUU
Molecule: non-coding RNA, 780 nt
Organism: Myodes glareolus (Bank vole)
Lineage: Eukaryota; Metazoa; Chordata; Mammalia; Rodentia; Cricetidae
Source: RefSeq, a predicted model, not a curated record